CGAUCUCACCAGUGACCUCCUGGGCAGCGGCAUCCCCUUCCUCGACUACAAGGUGUAUGCGGAGAGGAUCUUCUUCCCUGGGCACCGCGAGUCGCCCUUGCACCGGGACCUGGGUGUGCCUGAGAGCAGACGGCCCACUGUGGAGCAAGGGCUGGGGCAGCUCUCUAACCUGCUCAACAGCAAGCUCUUCCUCACCAAGUUCAUCCACACGCUGGAGAGCCAGCGCACCUUUUCAGCUCGGGACCGUGCCUACGUGGCAUCUCUGCUCACCGUGGCACUGCAUGGGAAGCUUGAGUAUUUCACUGACAUCCUCCGCACUCUGCUCAGUGACCUGGUUGCCCAGUAUGUGGCCAAGAACCCCAAGCUGAUGCUGCGCAGGACAGAGACUGUGGUGGAGAAGCUGCUCACCAACUGGAUGUCCAUCUGUCUGUAUACCUUCGUGAGGGUGAGGGGGCAGAGGUGGACAGGGCUCCUGUCCAGGGAGGGUCAGGCCCUCCAAACUGCUAAGCCCUCAGCCACCAUGCAGCUCGGACACUUGUGCCAGAGCAGAGACUCCUGCUCAGCCUGUCCUCAGUCCCCUUAAGCCCAUGUCCUGUCCCCUUCCCCAGUGUGCGUCAUGUCCCAUACACCUCUGCCACCUGCUGGGGGGCCCUAACUGCCUGUGCUCUCCUAGGACUCCGUAGGGGAGCCUCUGUACAUGCUCUUUCGAGGGAUUAAGCACCAAGUGGAUAAGGGGCCAGUGGACAGUGUGACAGGCAAGGCCAAAUACACCUUGAACGACAACCGCCUGCUCAGAGAGGAUGUGGAGUACCGUCCCCUGACCUUGAAUGCACUAUUGGCUGUGGGGCCUG
RNAcentral lists this small RNA (851 nucleotides) under Pan troglodytes (chimpanzee). RNAcentral's name for it is "retained intron". Lineage: Eukaryota; Metazoa; Chordata; Mammalia; Primates; Hominidae. The record is from RNAcentral.